RNAcentral lists this ribosomal RNA (326 nucleotides) under uncultured bacterium. RNAcentral describes it as "bacterial SSU rRNA". It matches the Rfam family "Bacterial small subunit ribosomal RNA", at positions 29 to 346 of the family's 1533-position model. The record is from RNAcentral.
AAUGAACGCUGGCGGCGCGCCUAAUACAUGCAAGUCGAGCGAGAAGACGUAGCAAUACGUUUGUAAAGCGGCGAACGGGUGAGGAAUACAUGGGUAACCUACCCUAGAGUGGGGAAUAACUAGCCGAAAGGUUAGCUAAUACCGCGUACGCUCCUUGGACUUCGGUUCAGGGAGGAAAGCGAUACCGAGGGUAUCGCGCUCUUGGAUGGGCUCAUGUCCUAUCAGCUUGNGGUGAGGUAACGGCUCACCAAGGCUUCGACGGGUAGCUGGUCUGAGAGGACGAUCAGCCACACUGGCACUGCGACACGGGCCAGACUCCUACGGGA